UUGGGAUGGUUCACAGCAUCUGCAAACCCUUGUGUCUCAAGGCACAGAGCUGCAUGCUGACCAUAAACAAAGCCACCCUUUCCCUUGACAUCCUUCAAAGAGUUGCUAGUGUAAAAUUGUACCCCUGGCUGGUUCGACCACAGCUCGAACGCCCUCCCCGAGCCACCAUCCUUCACGACCGCCACCUUCCUCAUCCCAUGAGCAUGCUGACCAUAAACAAAGCCACCCUUUCCCUUGACAUCCUUCAAAAAGUUGCUAGUGUAAAAUUGUACCCCUGGCUGGUUCGACCACAGCUCGAACGCCCUCCCCGAGCCACCAUCCUUCACGACCGCCACCUUCCUCAUCCCAUGACCGUCCAUCGGUGAAUCGAGAACAUAG
This 378-nucleotide long non-coding RNA is filed under the name Phoenix dactylifera (date palm). Its description in RNAcentral is "long non-coding RNA (PDAC_LNC000101)". Lineage: Eukaryota; Viridiplantae; Streptophyta; Magnoliopsida; Arecales; Arecaceae. The record is from RNAcentral.